GCGGAUUGGGUCAAAUGGUAAAA
Molecule: transfer RNA, 23 nt
Filed under: Dryadella edwallii
Lineage: Eukaryota; Viridiplantae; Streptophyta; Magnoliopsida; Asparagales; Orchidaceae
Description: partial tRNA-Gly
Source: RNAcentral